Molecule: unclassified non-coding RNA, 176 nt
Filed under: Diversispora sp.
Lineage: Eukaryota; Fungi; Glomeromycota; Glomeromycetes; Diversisporales; Diversisporaceae
Description: partial internal transcribed spacer region
Rfam family: Eukaryotic small subunit ribosomal RNA (bases 1-46)
Source: RNAcentral
AAGUCGUAACAAGGUUUCCGUAGGUGAACCUGCGGAAGGAUCAUUAAAAAUUUUUAUCCGGGAAUUCGUUUCGUUUUCCAGGAUUAUUUGUAUUCAAAUCUCACUCUUUAUAAAUAUAUUUAUUAUAUAAAACAAAAUAAAAAAGAAAACUUUCAACAACGGAUCUCUUGGCUCUC